Molecule: ribosomal RNA, 459 nt
Filed under: uncultured bacterium
Lineage: Bacteria
Description: partial 16S ribosomal RNA
Rfam family: Bacterial small subunit ribosomal RNA
Source: RNAcentral
CCUACGGGUGGCAGCAGUGAGGAAUAUUGGUCAAUGGCCGGAAGGCUGAACCAGCCAAGCCGCGUGAGGGAGGAAGGCGCAGAGCGUCGCAGACCUCUUUUGCCGGGGGACAAAAGGCCGGACUCGUCCGGUCCUGAGGGUACCCGGAGAAAAAGCAUCGGCUAACUCCGUGCCAGCAGCCGCGGUAAUACGGAGGAUGCGAGCGUUAUCCGGAAUUACUGGGUGUAAAGGGAGCGUAGGCGGGGAUGCAAGUUGGGUGUCAAAACUACCGGCUCAACUGGUAGUCGCACUCAAAACUGCAGCUCUUGAGUGAAGUAGAGGCAGGCGGAAUUCCUAGUGUAGCGGUGAAAUGCGUAGAUAUUAGGAGGAACACCAGUGGCGAAGGCGGCCUGCUGGGCUUUUACUGACGCUGAGGCUCGAAAGUGUGGGGAGCAAACAGGAUUAGAUACCCGAGUAGUC